RNAcentral lists this ribosomal RNA (1263 nucleotides) under Triticum aestivum (bread wheat). RNAcentral describes it as "partial small subunit ribosomal RNA". Lineage: Eukaryota; Viridiplantae; Streptophyta; Magnoliopsida; Poales; Poaceae. The record is from RNAcentral.
AUGGACUCCGGCAAUAGCGGCAGCCUCCAGUCGUCCAGCGGCGGCGACGACGAUUUCGACUCGCGGGGAGGCGGCGUCGACUCCUCGCCGCUCUCCGCGCUGCUCCAGCCGACGCCCUCGCCCUCGGCGGUCGGGGCCUUCUCGAUGCACGGAUCGCUCUAUGGCCUUCAGGAUUUCACCUCCGCCCCGCCGCAGCAGCAGCAACAGCAACAGCACCACCAGCAACACCAGCAGCAGCAGGCGUCCUGGUCGGCGCAGUUCAUGGCGGGGCCGGCUUCCUCGUCGACGCGUGUCGGGCCGACCGACGCGGGCAUGGGCGGCGCGAGCGCGCAUCAGGCGCCUGAUCCGUCAGCUGCGGCCGCGACGGCGCCGCCGAGGGGGUCGCGGAAGCGGGCGCGCGCGUCGCGGCGUGCCCCCACGACGGUGCUCACCACCGACACCUCAAACUUCCGCGCCAUGGUGCAGGAGUUCACCGGCAUCCCUAACCCGCCCUUCGCUGCCGGCGCUGGAGGCCCCGGUGCGUCUUUCAACUCCCGCUUCGACCACAUCUUCUCGUCCUCCGCCCUCCGCUCCGCCGCCGGUGCGACCGGCGAUCCAGUCUCCUCGCUGCCGCCGUACCUCCUCCGUCCUUUUGCGCAGAAGCUCCAGACGGCACCUUCGCCUUUCGCGCCCUUCACGUCCCCGUCCUCGUCAACACCUCCGUCGUCGAACAUGGGCAUCGCCAAUGCCAAUGCCAGGGCGGCGGCCACGGCCGCCGCCACCACAACAGCGUCUGCCAAUCAGCGCGGCGUCGCCGGCGAUGACUUCCAGCUGACGUCCUCGGCGCUUCUGCGGAUGCAGGACCACAGCAGCAACUACCUGUCCUUCCAGAACCUCCUCGGCUCCACGCAGCCUUCGUCGCAGCACAUGUUCGGCGCCAUGUCGCAUGGAGCAUCGAGGCUGCACGACCAAUCGCCGUCGGAGUUCAUGCCAGGCGCCGGCAGCGGCAGCAUGGGGCUCACCCACGGCGGGAUGAUGGUCUCCGAGGGGAUGCACAUGCACCAACAACAAAGAAGCGACGUCCACCAGGGCGGCGACGAGCUGUCGGGCGUGGUCCGGGCCGGCGCGUCCGGGAGCGGCGGCGGCGGCUGCAAGCUGAACUACCCGCCCUACACCGGGGCGCCAUCGUCAUCCGCGGCAGCCAGCACCGACAUGCCACCGGACGGAGCCUCCCGGAGCAGCCGCGGCGAGGGCCUAGACCCAUGGCUUUGUACAUCCGAGUAG